RNAcentral lists this ribosomal RNA (640 nucleotides) under Cupriavidus taiwanensis. RNAcentral describes it as "bacterial SSU rRNA". It matches the Rfam family "Bacterial small subunit ribosomal RNA", at positions 71 to 720 of the family's 1533-position model. Lineage: Bacteria; Pseudomonadati; Pseudomonadota; Betaproteobacteria; Burkholderiales; Burkholderiaceae. The record is from RNAcentral.
GCGCGGGCUUCGGCCUGGCGGCGAGUGGCGAACGGGUGAGUAAUACAUCGGAACGUGCCCUGUUGUGGGGGAUAACUAGUCGAAAGAUUAGCUAAUACCGCAUACGACCUGAGGGUGAAAGCGGGGGACCGGAAGGCCUCUCGCGAUAGGAGCGGCCGAUGUCUGAUUAUCUAUUUGGGGGGGUAAAAGCCUACCAAGGCGACAAUCACUAGCUGGGCUGAGAGGAGACGAUCCCCCACUGGGACUGAGACACGGCCCACACUCCUACGGGAGGCAGCAGUGGGGAAUUUUGGACAAUGGGGGCAACCCUGAUCCACCAAUGCCGCGUGUGUGAAGAAAGCCUUCUGGUUGUAAAGCACUUUUGUCCGGAAAGAAAACGCGCUGGGUAAUACCCGGGGUGUGUGUGAGUACCCGAAAAAUAUGCACCGGCUAACUACAUGCCAGCAGCCGCGGUAUACGUAGGGGGCGAGCGUUAAUCUCAAUUACUGGGCGUAAGCGUGCGCACGCGGUUUUGAAGACAGGCGUGAAAUCCCCGGGCUCAACUGUGAUAUGGCUUGUGACUGUGCGCUAUAGUGUGUCAGAGAGGGUAGAUUCACGUGUAUACUGUGAUGUGUAUAGAGUGAGAAUAUAGAUAUGCAAC